This 85-nucleotide transfer RNA is filed under the name Nephroselmis pyriformis. RNAcentral's name for it is "tRNA-Met". It matches the Rfam family "tRNA". Rfam says of the family: Transfer RNA (tRNA) molecules are approximately 80 nucleotides in length. Their secondary structure includes four short double-helical elements and three loops (D, anti-codon, and T loops). The record is from RNAcentral. Lineage: Eukaryota; Viridiplantae; Chlorophyta; Nephroselmidophyceae; Nephroselmidales; Nephroselmidaceae.
GCACCCAUGGCCGAGUGGUUGAAGGCGCCCGGCUCAUAACCGGGAAUUCCAAGUGAACGCGUCGGUUCAAAUCCGACUGGGUGCA